This 497-nucleotide ribosomal RNA is filed under the name uncultured bacterium. Its description in RNAcentral is "bacterial SSU rRNA". It matches the Rfam family "Bacterial small subunit ribosomal RNA", at positions 899 to 1397 of the family's 1533-position model. The record is from RNAcentral.
ACUCAAAGGAAUUGACGGGGGCCCGCACAAGCGGCGGAGCAUGUUGCUUAAUUCGAGGCAACGCGAAGAACCUUACCUGGGUUGAACUACGCAGGAAAAGCCGUAGAGAUACGGUGUCCGCAAGGGCCUGCGAUAGGUGGUGCAUGGCUGUCGUCAGCUCGUGUCGUGAGAUGUUGGGUUAAGUCCCGCAACGAGCGCAACCCUUUUCCUAUGUUGCCAGCGGGUAAUGCCGGGGACUCGUAGGAGACUGCCGGGGUCAACUCGGAGGAAGGUGGGGAUGAGGUCAAGUCAUCAUGCCCCUUACGUCCAGGGCUGCAAACAUGCUACAAUGGCCGAUACAAAGGGCUGCUAUCCCGCGAGGGUGAGCGAAUCCCAAAAAGUCGGUCUCAGUUCGGAUCGGAGUCUGCAACUCGACUCCGUGAAGUUGGAGUCGCUAGUAAUCCCGGAUCAGCAACGCCGGGGUGAAUACGUUCCCGGGCCUUGUACACACCGCCCGU